ACCCGUUUCGUAAAGGUGAAUAAAUUGGUUUGUUUUUUAAACUUGAUCAUCAUAUCUGUGUUUCGGCUUGCGGUCUCAACCCGAAGUUUCAUACGUGGCCUUGGAAUCAAAAGAGAGGUGAUUCGAGACUAGGCCCGUCUCGUUUUUUAAAAGGUGGACUUGAAAAUCGAAUGGACAAAACUAAAUACACUAAAAAAAAUCAGGCACUGUCAGAGCUAGUCCUGAAAUGCCCCAAUUCCUUUCCAGAUCUAUGGUUCUAUACAAAACCAUUUAAUAGUCAUCUUAAGAAUUUAGUUUACUUUUUUGUAUUAGCCAAAGUUGAGGAGAUGCGUUCACCAGGCGUAGGCGGCGUAAUUCGUUCUUUUCGUAGCGUGGAACAUUAUACUUGAAGUUGUCCUCAUCAAGGACGCCUAGUAACCAAAUACUUGGUUUUUGGAAGAAAGGAAAUUCGAACAAGAGCUUUAUAGACCAUGGAAGAAACGAUAAUUUAAAAACGGCUCUUGUGAACAUACAUAUACUUUAAUUAUUGUAAAUGAAAUCGGAUGGGUAGACAGACGAACUACUCUGCUAUUUUAUUUAGAAGAAACAUUGCGUCAGAACAAAUUACCGCAGCUCAUUCAUUUCCUUUGCCAAAAAAUUCGGAAUUAAAUUCAAUUCGUAUAACGAAGAUUAUUUACAAAGCUGAAUAUAAAACCGGUUUAAAUAUUUUGUAGUCAAUGCAUUUCACUAUACAUGUAUGUAUAUCUUUUUCAUUUUCUUAGAAGAUCAACAAGCUGCCAGUUACGAAUAAACCGUAUUAUUUUUGCUAAGCUUAUUUUCUUAGUUGAAUAUUACGAGUAUAACACUACGUAAUUUAAGCAAUUAUUUAUUUAGAUCGAUUAAUACGCAAAUAAAUAAAAUUAGAUUCACGGUGUGA
Bombyx mori (domestic silkworm) is the source of this 916-nucleotide long non-coding RNA. RefSeq lists it as uncharacterized. The record is from RefSeq and is a predicted model, not a curated record. The transcript has 2 exons. NCBI's taxonomy places the organism in Eukaryota, Metazoa, Arthropoda, Insecta, Lepidoptera, Bombycidae.